RNAcentral lists this ribosomal RNA (1235 nucleotides) under metagenome. Its description in RNAcentral is "bacterial LSU rRNA". It matches the Rfam family "Bacterial large subunit ribosomal RNA", at positions 1564 to 2808 of the family's 2925-position model. The record is from RNAcentral.
UGAGUACGAGAUGCUACGGCGUCGAAGCAGUCUAGGUCAUACUUCCAAGAAAAGCUUGCACUGUCAUAAACAAAGAAUGCCCGUACCAUAACCGACACAGGUGGGUAGGUAGAGUAUACUAAGGGGCGCGAGAUAACUCUCUCUAAGGAACUCGGCAAAAUGACUCCGUAACUUCGGGAGAAGGAGUGCCUUAUUUUUAAGGUUGCAAUAACAAGAUCCAAGCAACUGUUUACCAAAAACACAGGUCUCCGCUAAGUCGUAAGACGAUGUAUGGGGGCUGACGCCUGCCCAGUGCCAGAAGGUUAAAGAAGUUGGUUAGCAUUUGCGAAGCUGAUAACUGAAGCCCUGGUGAACGGCGGCCGUAACUAUAACGGUCCUAAGGUAGCGAAAUUCCUCGUCGGGUAAGUUCCGACCCGCACGAAAGGCGUAAUGAUUUGGAUACUGUCUCGGAGAGGGGCUCGGUGAAAUAGACUUGUCUGUGAAGAUGCGGACUACCUGCACCUGGACAGAAAGACCCUAUGAAGCUUUACUGUAACUUGAGAUUGAAAUUGGACUUUAUUUGCGCAGUAUAGGUGGGAGGCGUUGAGAAUAAUCUUGCGGGAUUAUCGGAGCCAUCAGUGAGAUACCACUCUUGUAAUGUUAGAUUUCUAACUUUGUAUCAUUAUCUGGUCAAAGAACAGUUUCAGGCGGGCAGUUUGACUGGGGCGGUCGCCUCCCAAAGGGUAACGGAGGCGCACAAAGGUUUCCUCUGAACGGGUAGAAAUCGUAUCUAGAGUGUAAAGGCAUAAGGAAGCUUGACUGUGAGACCUACAAGUCGAGCAGGGACGAAAGUCGGUCUUAGUGAUCUGACGGUGCUGAGUGGAAAGGCCGUCACUCAACGGAUAAAAGUUACUCUAAGGAUAACAGGCUGAUCUCCCCCAAGAGUUCACAUCGACGGGGAGGUUUGGCACCUCGAUGUCGGCUCAUCGCAUCCUGGGGCGGUAGUACGUCCCAAGGGUUGGGCUGUUCGCCCAUGAAAGCGGUACGCGAGCUGGGUUCAGAACGUCGUGAGACAGUUCGGUCCAUAUCCGGUGUAGGCGUUAGAAUAUUGAAAGGAGCCUUCUCUAGUACGAGAGGACCGAGAAGGACAUACCUCUGGUGUGCCAGUUAUCGUGCCAACGGUAAACGCUGGGUAGCUAUGUAUGGAGUGGAUAACCGCUGAAAGCAUCUAAGUGGGAAGCCCACCUUAAGAUAAG